AAAAUUAAAAUUUUUAAGUAUAUUAUUGUCACGACCCGACUCCAUUGGCCGGACCGGCACUAGGGCCCAGGUAAGCUUAAGGCCCCCGAGGCCCGUAGUAAGCCUGAAACACUAGAAUCUAUUACCUCGGUAUAAAUUUCAACAUUUUAUUAGUUCUCGGCCCAAGUUUUUCUUCUACAGCAUUCUAUAGUUUGAGCCCAGUUUACAAUACAUCACAUUCUAAUAGGGCUUACAGAAUUAUUUUGUCUACGUUAGUACACGACUAAAUAUAGGUAAAUCCUACAACUGCGGAGUCACUAACUCUUUGGUAUACAUAGCUUUUUAUACACAUAAUUACAUAGUAAAAUAAUUAUGGAACUAGGAAAAUUUCUCUAUUGCCCUGCGCCGAAGAAACAUAGCCUAAAUCGGAUUAAAGAAAAACUUACUUCCUGAAACAAAAUCAAACAAGUCAUGUGAGUUUUCUAAGGAGUAAUAAUUAUUGCACAACACACGCAGUCACACAAAUGUGUAAACAUAUCAAUCUAGUCAUCCGACUAGUUAUAUGCUCACGCAGCCAGUCACACAAAUGGCAUGUCACCAGCACUCACAAACAAUAUCACCUUCAAAUAAUCACAUCACGUGGAAAUUAGUCAGUGGCACCACCUGAAACCCCAACGAGCCGUCCUCACACAUGGCUCGCCCUCUCAUACAUGUGCACCAGGGAGCCGAUCCCCCAUAC
Molecule: long non-coding RNA, 718 nt
Filed under: Jatropha curcas
Lineage: Eukaryota; Viridiplantae; Streptophyta; Magnoliopsida; Malpighiales; Euphorbiaceae
Description: long non-coding RNA (JCUR_LNC001480)
Source: RNAcentral